AAUGAACCGGCGAGUUACGAUUUGAUGCAAGGUUAAGCAGUAAAUGUGGAGCCGUAGCGAAAGCGAGUCUGAAUAGGGCGUUUAGUAUUUGGUCGUAGACCCGAAACCAGGUGAUCUACCCUUGGUCAGGUUGAAGUUCAGGUAACACUGAAUGGAGGACCGAACCGACUUACGUUGAAAAGUGAGCGGAUGAACUGAGGGUAGCGGAGAAAUUCCAAUCGAACCUGGAGAUAGCUGGUUCUCUCCGAAAUAGCUUUAGGGCUAGCCUCAAGUGAUGAUUAUUGGAGGUAGAGCACUGUUUGGACGAGGGGCCCCUCUCGGGUUACCGAAUUCAGACAAACUCCGAAUGCCAAUUAAUUUAACUUGGGAGUCAGAACAUGGGUGAUAAGGUCCGUGUUCGAAAGGGAAACAGCCCAGACCACCAGCUAAGGUCCCAAAAUAUAUGUUAAGUGGAAAAGGAUGUGGCGUUGCCCAGACAACUAGGAUGUUGGCUUAGAAGCAGCCAUCAUUUAAAGAGUGCGUAAUAGCUCACUAGUCGAGUGACACUGCGCCGAAAAUGUACCGGGGCUAAACAUAUUACCGAAGCUGUGGAUUGUCCUUUGGACAAUGGUAGGAGAGCGUUCUAAGGGCGUUGAAGCAUGAUCGUAAGGACAUGUGGAGCGCUUAGAAGUGAGAAUGCCGGUGUGAGUAGCGAAAGACGGGUGAGAAUCCCGUCCACCGAUUGACUAAGGUUUCCAGAGGAAGGCUCGUCCGCUCUGGGUUAGUCGGGUCCUAAGCUGAGGCCGACAGGCGUAGGCGAUGGAUAACAGGUUGAUAUUCCUGUACCACCUAUAAUCGUUUUAAUCGAUGGGGGGACGCAGUAGGAUAGGCGAAGCGUGCGAUUGGAUUGCACGUCUAAGCAGUAAGGCUGAGUAUUAGGCAAAUCCGGUACUCGUUAAGGCUGAGCUGUGAUGGGGAGAAGACAUUGAGUCUUCGAGUCGUUGAUUUCACACUGCCGAGAAAAGCCUCUAGAUAGAAAAUAGGUGCCCGUACCGCAAACCGACACAGGUAGUCAAGAUGAGAAUUCUAAGGUGAGCGAGCGAACUCUCGUUAAGGAACUCGGCAAAAUGACCCCGUAACUUCGGGAGAAGGGGUGCUCUUUAGGGUUAACGCCCAGAAGAGCCGCAGUGAAUAGGCCCAAGCGACUGUUUAUCAAAAACACAGGUCUCUGCUAAACCGUAAGGUGAUGUAUAGGGGCUGACGCCUGCCCGGUGCUGGAAGGUUAAGAGGAGUGGUUAGCUUCUGCGAAGCUACGAAUCGAAGCCCCAGUAAACGGCGGCCGUAACUAUAACGGUCCUAAGGUAGCGAAAUUCCUUGUCGGGUAAGUUCCGACCCGCACGAAAGGCGUAACGAUUUGGGCACUGUCUCAACGAGAGACUCGGUGAAAUCAUAGUACCUGUGAAGAUGCAGGUUACCCGCGACAGGACGGAAAGACCCCGUGGAGCUUUACUGUAGCCUGAUAUUGAAAUUCGGCACAGCUUGUACAGGAUAGGUAGGAGCCUUUGAAACGUGAGCGCUAGCUUACGUGGAGGCGCUGGUGGGAUACUACCCUAGCUGUGUUGGCUUUCUAACCCGCACCACUUAUCGUGGUGGGAGACAGUGUCAGGCGGGCAGUUUGACUGGGGCGGUCGCCUCCUAAAAGGUAACGGAGGCGCUCAAAGGUUCCCUCAGAAUGGUUGGAAAUCAUUCAUAGAGUGUAAAGGCAUAAGGGAGCUUGACUGCGAGACCUACAAGUCGAGCAGGGUCGAAAGACGGACUUAGUGAUCCGGUGGUUCCGCAUGGAAGGGCCAUCGCUCAACGGAUAAAAGCUACCCCGGGGAUAACAGGCUUAUCUCCCCCAAGAGUUCACAUCGACGGGGAGGUUUGGCACCUCGAUGUCGGCUCAUCGCAUCCUGGGGCUGUAGUCGGUCCCAAGGGUUGGGCUGUUCGCCCAUUAAAGCGGUACGCGAGCUGGGUUCAGAACGUCGUGAGACAGUUCGGUCCCUAUCCGUCGUGGGCGUAGGAAAUUUGAGAGGAGCUGUCCUUAGUACGAGAGGACCGGGAUGGACAUACCUCUGGUGUACCAGUUGUCGUGCCAACGGCAUAGCUGGGUAGCUAUGUGUGGACGGGAUAAGUGCUGAAAGCAUCUAAGCAUGAAGCCCCCCUCAAGAUGAGAUUUCCCAACUUCGGUUAUAAGAUCCCUCAAAGAUGAUGAGGUUAAUAGGUUCGAGGUGGAAGCAUGGUGACAUGUGGAGCUGACGAAUACUAAUCGAUCGAAGACUUAAUCAA
RNAcentral lists this ribosomal RNA (2307 nucleotides) under Staphylococcus aureus W62934. Its description in RNAcentral is "bacterial LSU rRNA". It matches the Rfam family "Bacterial large subunit ribosomal RNA", at positions 614 to 2925 of the family's 2925-position model. Lineage: Bacteria; Bacillati; Bacillota; Bacilli; Caryophanales; Staphylococcaceae. The record is from RNAcentral.